UACGGAGGAUGCGAGCGUUAUCCGGCUUUAUUGGGUUUAAAGGGUGCGCAGGCGGCGAGUUAAGUCAGCGGUAAAAUUUCGGGGCUCAACCCCGACAAGCCGUUGAAACUGGCUUGCUAGAGUGGGCGAGAAGUAUGCGGAAUGCGUGGUGUAGCGGUGAAAUGCAUAGAUAUCACGCAGAACUCCGAUUGCGAAGGCAGCCUGCCGCAGCGUUACUGACGCUGAAGCUCGAAAGCGCGGGUAUCGAACAGG
This 252-nucleotide ribosomal RNA is filed under the name uncultured Bacteroidales bacterium. RNAcentral's name for it is "partial 16S ribosomal RNA". It matches the Rfam family "Bacterial small subunit ribosomal RNA", at positions 524 to 776 of the family's 1533-position model. Lineage: Bacteria; Pseudomonadati; Bacteroidota; Bacteroidia; Bacteroidales. The record is from RNAcentral.